RNAcentral lists this ribosomal RNA (543 nucleotides) under Celeribacter halophilus. RNAcentral's name for it is "partial 16S ribosomal RNA". It matches the Rfam family "Bacterial small subunit ribosomal RNA", at positions 107 to 687 of the family's 1533-position model. Lineage: Bacteria; Pseudomonadati; Pseudomonadota; Alphaproteobacteria; Rhodobacterales; Roseobacteraceae. The record is from RNAcentral.
UUUUUUUUUUUUGCGUUUUUUUUCUUCCUAUGGAAUAUUCCCUGGAAACUGGGUUUAAUACCAUAUACGCCCUUCGGGGGAAAGAAUUUCGGUGAGGGAUCGGCCCGCGNUAUAUUACUUAGUUGGUGNNGUAAUGCCCUACCACGACUACGAUCCANAGCUGGUUUGAGAGGAUGAUCAUCAACACUNNNACUGAGACACGGCCCAGACGUCCCACGGGAGGCAGCAGUGGGGAAUCUUAUACAAUGGGGGCAACCCUGAUCUAGCGAUGCCGCGUGAGUGAUGAAGGCCUUAGGGUCGUAAAGCUCUUUCGCCUGUGAUGAUAAUGACCGUACCAGGUAAAGAAACCCCGGCUAACUCCGUGCCAGCAGCCGCGGUAAUACGGAGGGGGUUAGCGUUGUUCGGAAUUACUGGGCGUAAAGCGCACGUAGGCGGAUUAGUCAGUCAAAGGUGAAAUCCCAGGGCUCAACCCUGGAACUGCCUUUGACACUGCUAUUCUUGAGUUCUAUAGAGGAAUUGGAAUUCCGAGUGUAAAGGUGAAAU